RNAcentral lists this ribosomal RNA (253 nucleotides) under uncultured bacterium. RNAcentral's name for it is "partial 16S ribosomal RNA". It matches the Rfam family "Bacterial small subunit ribosomal RNA", at positions 524 to 776 of the family's 1533-position model. The record is from RNAcentral.
UACGUAGGGGGCAAGCGUUGUUCGGAUUUACUGGGCGUAAAGGGCGCGUAGGCGGCGUGACAAGUCACUUGUGAAAUCUCCGGGCUUAACUCGGAACGGCCAAGUGAUACUGUCGUGCUAGAGUGCAGAAGGGGCAAUCGGAAUUCUUGGUGUAGCGGUGAAAUGCGUAGAUAUCAAGAGGAACACCUGAGGUGAAGACGGGUUGCUGGGCUGACACUGACGCUGAGGCGCGAAAGCUAGGGGAGCAAACGGG